Molecule: ribosomal RNA, 274 nt
Filed under: uncultured bacterium
Lineage: Bacteria
Description: partial 16S ribosomal RNA
Rfam family: Bacterial small subunit ribosomal RNA
Source: RNAcentral
AGACGAACCGUGCGAACGUUAUUCGGAAUCACUGGGCUUGAAGCGUGCGUAGGCGGCUUGGCAAGUUGGGUGUGAAAGCCCUCGGCUCAACCGAGGAAUUGCGCCCAAAACUGCCAGGCUUGAGGGAGUUAGAGGUGAGCGGAACUGAUGGUGGAGCGGUGAAAUGCUUUGAUAUCAUCAGGAACACCGGAGGCGAAGGCGGCUCACUGGGGCUCUUCUGACGCUGAGGCACGAAAGCUAGGGGAGCGAACGGGAUUAGAAACCCCGGUAGUCC